Homo sapiens (human) is the source of this 4353-nucleotide RNA transcript. It is a transcript of the gene named maestro heat like repeat family member 7, with no coding region annotated. The record is from RefSeq and is marked validated. The transcript has 24 exons. NCBI's taxonomy places the organism in Eukaryota, Metazoa, Chordata, Mammalia, Primates, Hominidae.
GAGGGGCAGCUCUGGGAAAGUCCUAGGGGUGGGGGCAGUCUCCACAGCCUCCCACAAGGGAGUUACCACCUUCCCGCACUUCUGGGUACAAGUCUCCUGCUCUGGCUGUAUUCCACAGUUAGAACUUCAUAUCUUUGGCUUAGAGCUGGAUUUUCUGUUACCAUGUGGAUGCUCCAGGGGCCCGCUCCUGCUUAAAAACACCAUGCAUGCAGACUGCUGCUGGGAAUGUGACAGUUGGCUGUUGGAGAGAAGCGGGCACUGGCAUUGAGAGACCUCCAGACUGGACAUGGCCCUGAGUCCAGGGGCUAACCUGGUCUUCCAUGAAGACCCAAAGAUGACACCAAGUCCCCCCUCCUGUGGGGCCCCGGGAUUAGGGUCUGGUACCAUCCCUCAGCCCCACCCAGACAUGGCUCAGGUGCCUAUGUUGAAUCUGCUCCCAAGUCCUGGCUUGGCUCUCGUUCCAGAUCUUAAUGAUUCUUUGAGUCCAGUCUCAGGGGAGGCCUCAGGCCUGGUGUCUGAAAACACCCCCAGACCUGAUGACAGCAGAGCUAUCGCUCCAGCCUCCCUCCAGAUCACCAGUUCUUGUUCUGGUGAAGCCCUGGACCUGGAUUCCAAGGAUGUCUCAAGGCCUGACUCACAGGGGCGCCUCUGUCCAGCCUCAAACCCCAUUCUGAGCCCUAGCUCUACUGAGGCCCCUCGUCUGAGCUCUGGGAACCACCCUCAGUCAAAUUCUGAAGAUGCCUUCAAGUGCCUCUCAAGUAAGAUUUUCAAGUUGGGUCAGAGAAACUCCAACCCUUCUAGGCAUGAAUUAAACCCAUUUAUAAGGCACCAUUCCAGAGAAGGUCUGGUUCUGGGCCACUGCAUCUCUAGGCCAAGCUCAAAAGCACUCCUUAUUCCAACCUCAAACUCUUCUCUGGACCUUGACUCCAAUCCAUUGCUCAACAUGGGCUCAAGAAACACCUCCAAGCUGAACCUGAAUGUAGCUCCAGAUUCUCAUGGGACCCUAAUCCCAGACACAAAUGAGACCAUCACUUUGGCUUCACAUAAUAUCUCUGAGUCUGUUUCAAAAGGAGCCUUUAGUACCACCUGGAGCACAAGUUCAAAGGAAACCAUGAAUGUGGCUUCCAGCGGCCACUCCAGAUCUGAUUUGAGCGUGACCAUCACUCAAGCCUCGUAUGUGACCCUGAUUCCUGGCUCCAGCUAUGGUAUCAGCCUGCACUCCAGCACCCAUGAGCCCAACUCCACCAUCUCUCCACCCUCAUGCAUGACUCUAAUCCUGGGUUCCAAUGAGACUCUGAGCCUGGACUCCAGCCUCCUGUUCAGCGACACCUCCACCUUGACGCUGAGCAGUCAGCAGGAUGAUGCCAAGGACAACAGCAUCCACACUGUGCCCCUGGAGGAGAAUCUGGAGAGUUGGAGUGAGAUGGCCAGCAUUAAGGUGGGCCAGUUCCCGCUGGGAUUCCCCAUCUCCAACCCCGCAGGCAAGGACGCCGUGACCUUGCAAGGCAUCCCUGAGGGAGCCUUUGAUGAAGUGACCUCAUGCCUGGUGAAGGUGCCAGAGAAGACAGAAGGUGGCAACAACAUGGCUCUGGUUGAGAAUGUCACCACCCUUCAGAAGAGCCAGGAUCUGCUGGAGGCAGAAGGAGAAAAGAAGACCAUGAUAAAGAAGAUUAUGAGGCAGAUCCAGGAGGAGCCACUGGAUUCUCUCUCAAGCUCCGUCCGCAAGCAGGCCAUGGAGAUCCUGACCCAGCUGAGCCACACCCAGCCCACCCUGGGCAUGCGGGAGAGGUCGGAGCUGGUGAACGUGUGUGUGCACAGCGUGUUCUCCCUGCCCUCCGUGCAGGCGAUGCAGGAGAAGGACGAGGCCAAGGCUGAGACCAUCCAGGCUCUUUACCAUCAGACCCUGGAGGCCCUGCAGACACUGCUCAAAGCCCUCUUUAUCGAGGACCCCACUCCUGCUGGGCUGAAGAGCAUCUUGGAGGCCCUGGGGCCUUGGAUGAACUCUGGGAAGGCCCAUGAGCGAGCACGGGCUGUGAACACCAAUGUCUCUGUGUUGAACCACAUGCUUCUAACUCUGCCUUUCUUUAUUGCAAUACAAACAGAUGCCCUUGGGGUUCCCGGCGCUGGGGCUUCUGCUGGGGAGACUCAUCCUUCACAUUGGGGAUCCUGAUGAGGAGAUUGGCUGUGAGGCUCUGGACGGCAUCAUCAUCCUCUACACUAUUCUGGAGCUCCAAAAACGAGCCAGAGAUAAGGAAGAGACCAACAAAAAGGAGCUAUAUGAGAGCAACAAGCAUUUCCUGGGGCCCUACAACCCUGUGAGCCCGUGCCAGAACAUUCUGCGGGUGAUCGAGGAAUUUGGAGACUUCCUGGGGCCCCAGCAGAUAAAGGACCUGCUGCUGGCCGCCCUGGAAGGGCUGAAAGGCAGCUCAGAGGCUCCAGGGAAGGACUCCAGGGAGAUGAUGCAGCUGGCCUCGGAGGUCAUGCUCAGCUCGGUGCUGGAGUGGUACCGCCACAGGGCGCUGGAGGUGAUCCCAGAAAUCAUGCAAGGCAUCUACAUGCAGCUGAGCCACAUCCAGGAGCCUCGGGCCCGCCAGGUGGCCCUGCUGCCCGUCUCCCUCCUGGCUAGCUCCUUCAUGACCGAGGUUGUGGUGGCCCUGCUCAUGUGCCCCCUCCCACUGAACAGCAAUGGAGCAGAGAUGUGGAGGCAGCUGAUACUGUGUAAGCCCAGCUGUGAUGUCCGAGACCUCCUGGAUCUGCUCCUGGGCAGCCUGAAGGAGAAGCCCGUCACCAAGGAGGGCCGGGCUUCCAUCGUGCCCCUGGCGGCAGCCAGCGGCCUGUGCGAGCUCCUGUCCGUCAACAGCUGCAUGGGCCGUGUGAGGCGCAUCUACCCUCAGCUGCUCCUGGCCCUGCUCAUUCAGGUCCAUUACCACAUCGGCCUCAACCUGCCUGGCUGCGUGGCUCCUCCCAAGGACACCAAGAAGGGUGCACAGCCCUCUCCCUUCGUACCUGUGCGCUGGGUGGUGAAAGUGGUGAAAACCCUGCUACUGAGGAUGGGCUGCUCUUAUGAGACCACGUUUCUGGAGGACCAGGGUGGCUGGGAGCUCAUGGAGCAGGUGGAGAGCCACCACCGCGGAGUGGCCUUGCUGGCAAGGGCCAUGGUGCAGUACUCCUGCCAGGAGCUGUGCCGCAUCCUCUACCUGCUCAUCCCGCUCCUGGAGCGAGGCGACGAGAAGCACAGGAUCACGGCCACCGCCUUCUUCGUGGAGCUCCUCCAGAUGGAGCAGGUGCGCCGGAUCCCCGAGGAAUACUCUCUGGGGCGGAUGGCAGAAGGCCUGAGCCACCACGACCCCAUCAUGAAGGUGCUGUCCAUUCGAGGCCUGGUCAUCCUGGCCCGCAGGUCUGAGAAGACCGCCAAGGUGAAGGCCCUCCUGCCCUCCAUGGUGAAGGGCCUGAAGAACAUGGAUGGGAUGCUGGUGGUGGAAGCGGUCCACAACCUCAAGGCUGUCUUCAAGGGGCGGGACCAGAAGCUGAUGGACAGUGCGGUCUAUGUGGAGAUGCUGCAGAUCCUGCUGCCGCACUUCAGCGACGCACGAGAGGUCGUGCGCUCCUCCUGCAUCAACCUGUAUGGGAAGGUGGUCCAGAAGCUUCGGGCACCACGCACUCAGGCCAUGGAGGAGCAGCUGGUCAGCACCUUGGUGCCCCUACUGCUGACCAUGCAGGAGGGCAACUCCAAGGUAAGCCAGAAGUGUGUGAAGACCCUGUUACGCUGUUCUUACUUCAUGGCUUGGGAGUUGCCAAAAAGAGCUUAUAGCCGGAAGCCCUGGGACAACCAACAGCAGACAGUGGCCAAAAUUUGCAAGUGCCUUGUGAACACCCACCGAGACAGCGCCUUCAUAUUCCUCAGCCAGAGCCUGGAGUAUGCCAAGAACUCACGGGCCUCCCUCCGGAAGUGCUCAGUCAUGUUCAUAGGGUCCCUGGUCCCCUGCAUGGAGAGCAUAAUGACAGAAGAUCGUCUGAAUGAAGUGAAAGCUGCUCUGGAUAACUUGAGACAUGACCCAGAAGCAUCAGUGUGCAUCUACGCAGCCCAGGUCCAGGACCACAUCCUGGCCAGCUGCUGGCAGAACUCCUGGCUGCCGCACGGGAACUCAUGGGUGUGUUACUCAGCCACCACCCACCGCUGGAGCCCCAGCUGUGAGAACCUGCCCACUUCCCACCAGCGGCGCUCCUGGAUCAUGCAGGCACUGGGCUCCUGGAAGAUGUCCUUGAAGAAGUGACGUCCCUGAGCCCCAAACCCUCCUCAGGGUGGUUGAGUUCCAGCCAUGCUCCCUAUAAAUGUCAUGUGGCUUACCUCUC